AGAAAAGUAAGCUAAGUUUAAGCUCCUGGGUUCAUACCCCAUAUAUAGAGGCUCCCCUCUCUUUUCUA
Molecule: transfer RNA, 68 nt
Filed under: Theopompa sp. FY-2016a
Lineage: Eukaryota; Metazoa; Arthropoda; Insecta; Mantodea; Gonypetidae
Description: tRNA-Met
Source: RNAcentral